This 305-nucleotide ribosomal RNA is filed under the name uncultured bacterium. Its description in RNAcentral is "bacterial SSU rRNA". It matches the Rfam family "Bacterial small subunit ribosomal RNA", at positions 338 to 636 of the family's 1533-position model. The record is from RNAcentral.
CCUACGGGAGGCAGCAGUAGGGAAUAUUGCUCAAUGGGGGAAACCCUGAAGCAGCAACGCCGCGUGGAGGAUGAAGGUUUUAGGAUUGUAAACUUCUGUUGUUAGGGAAGAACGACCUAAGUAGGAAAUGACUUAGGAGUGACGGUACCUCUCAAGAUAGCUCCGGCUAACUACGUGCCAGCAGCCGCGGUAAUACGUAGGGAGCGAGCGUUAUCCGGAUUUAUUGGGUGUAAAGGGUGCGUAGGCGGCUUUUUAGGUCUAAGGUUUAAGCCCGGAGCUUAACUCCGGUUCGCCUUAGAAACCGU